AUGGGCGAGGCCCGUCGCGAACAAGGGGAAGCACGCCGCCGACGAGAAGUUCCUGUUGCUGAAGAAGCACUUCGGCAAGGGACUUGGAGGUGGCCUUGGGAAGGGUGGUGGGCUCGGUGGAGGUGGCGGUGGCGGCUACGGUGGUGGAGGAGGGCUCGGUGGCGGUGGCGGCUACGGUGGUGGUGGAGGACUAGGUGGUGGGGCUGGCCAUGGUGUCGGUGGAGGUCUUGGUGGUGGGUUUGGCAAAGGAGGAGGGCUUGGCGGCGGGUUUGGUAA
RNAcentral lists this ribosomal RNA (276 nucleotides) under Triticum aestivum (bread wheat). Its description in RNAcentral is "partial small subunit ribosomal RNA". Lineage: Eukaryota; Viridiplantae; Streptophyta; Magnoliopsida; Poales; Poaceae. The record is from RNAcentral.